This is a long non-coding RNA of Canis lupus familiaris (dog), 362 nucleotides long. RefSeq lists it as uncharacterized. NCBI's taxonomy places the organism in Eukaryota, Metazoa, Chordata, Mammalia, Carnivora, Canidae. The record is from RefSeq and is a predicted model, not a curated record. The transcript is spliced from 3 exons.
GAAAGUACUUGCAUCUGAAUCCUUGCCUCUGUGUCUGCUUCUGGGAAGACUCAAACUAAGACACAGACUGUCCUAUAUUAUAUAAACCAAGCUGGGCUCGGAGUCUAGUGAAUGCCUAACCUAAGUUUCAACUCCAUCCUGAACCAUGAAAGUGCUGAAAGAACUGAGGAAAAGGAAGCAACAGGCAGUGCUGAAAGAAAAAUGAGCUUUCUGAGCCCAUGGUCCAGGAGGUCAGCAGUGUAUCUCUCACCUUUGAGCGGGCUCUAUUCUAGACACUCUGGGUGCAGCAGUGAACAAAACAGCUCAUGGAACUUCCUUUUGAGGAGGGAGACAAGUAAAAAACAAAUAAAUGAACAAACAUG